AUUUGAGUUUUAAUGCUGAUAUCCCUAAUUCUAUUUAUUGGCUCAACUAACCUGCUAGGACUACUCCCACACUCAUUUACACCCACAACA
Long non-coding RNA from Hyaena hyaena (striped hyena), 90 nucleotides. RefSeq lists it as uncharacterized. The record is from RefSeq and is a predicted model, not a curated record. Lineage: Eukaryota; Metazoa; Chordata; Mammalia; Carnivora; Hyaenidae. The transcript is spliced from 3 exons.